CGACCUCGGAUCAGGUAGGGAUACCCGCUGAACUUAAGCAUAUCAAUAAG
This 50-nucleotide ribosomal RNA is filed under the name Myriotrema urceolare. RNAcentral's name for it is "partial 28S ribosomal RNA". The record is from RNAcentral. Lineage: Eukaryota; Fungi; Ascomycota; Lecanoromycetes; Ostropales; Graphidaceae.